This is a small nuclear RNA of Microcebus murinus (gray mouse lemur), 107 nucleotides long. Lineage: Eukaryota; Metazoa; Chordata; Mammalia; Primates; Cheirogaleidae. The record is from Ensembl.
GUGCUCGCUUUGGCACCACAUAUACUAAAAUUGGAAUGAUACACAGAAGAUUAGCAUCACACCUGUACAAGGAUGAUAUGCAAAUUUCUGGUGUUCCAUACAUUUUU